Molecule: long non-coding RNA, 352 nt
Organism: Sycon ciliatum
Lineage: Eukaryota; Metazoa; Porifera; Calcarea; Leucosolenida; Sycettidae
Exons: 3
Source: RefSeq, a predicted model, not a curated record
CUUGUUGAAUUAUACCUUGAAGAUCCUUUUGAACUAAUCUUUUGAGCUCGUUGUUGGAGCCGGGCAGAAUAAGCACCAUCGCAAUCUGACUGUUAUCGUUCUGGUCCCGGAUGUUUGUCUAAAAACUGACGAAAUCAACGCGUUGACUUUGCUUUUGAAAUCGAUCCGUCUGCCUAGGCCAGUGCUUGGUGGGAACUUCUGCUGCGACCGCAUGCGACAUGGCUCAGAUGACACAAAGCACAAUGCAGCUAGUGUUGUUAGUGAUAGCGCUGGCAACUCAUGUUUCCAUGACGAGCGGAAACACAAAUGAAGGAUGUGGUGACGCAGUAACAUUUGAGGAGGGCUUUGGGGG